AGCGAACGCUGGCGGCAGGCUUAACACAUGCAAGUCGAGCGGGCAUCCUUGUGGUGUCAGCGGCAGACGGGUGAGUAACGCGUGGGGACGUGCCCUUCGGUUCGGAAUAACUCAGGGAAACUUGAGCUAAUACCGGAUACGUGCGAGAGCAGAAAGGUUUAUCUGCCGAAGGAUCGGCCCGCGUCUGAUUAGCUAGUUGGUGAGGUUAUGGCUCACCAAGGCGACGAUCAGUAGCUGGUCUGAGAGGAUGAUCAGCCACACUGGGACUGAGACACGGCCCAGACUCCUACGGGAGGCAGCAGUGGGGAAUAUUGGACAAUGGGGGCAACCCUGAUCCAGCCAUGCCGCGUGAGUGAUGACGGCCUUAGGGUUGUAAAGCUCUUUUCUCCGGGACGAUAAUGACGGUACCGGAGGAAUAAGCCCCGGCUAACUUCGU
RNAcentral lists this ribosomal RNA (436 nucleotides) under uncultured bacterium. RNAcentral's name for it is "partial 16S ribosomal RNA". It matches the Rfam family "Bacterial small subunit ribosomal RNA", at positions 29 to 506 of the family's 1533-position model. The record is from RNAcentral.